RNAcentral lists this transfer RNA (76 nucleotides) under Klebsiella aerogenes. RNAcentral describes it as "tRNA-Ile2(cat)". It matches the Rfam family "tRNA". From Rfam's summary of the family: Transfer RNA (tRNA) molecules are approximately 80 nucleotides in length. Their secondary structure includes four short double-helical elements and three loops (D, anti-codon, and T loops). The record is from RNAcentral. Lineage: Bacteria; Pseudomonadati; Pseudomonadota; Gammaproteobacteria; Enterobacterales; Enterobacteriaceae. RNAcentral also lists the same sequence under 6 other names.
GGCCCCUUAGCUCAGUGGUUAGAGCAGGCGACUCAUAAUCGCUUGGUCGUUGGUUCAAGCCCAACAGGGGCCACCA